Molecule: long non-coding RNA, 213 nt
Organism: Sardina pilchardus (European sardine)
Lineage: Eukaryota; Metazoa; Chordata; Actinopteri; Clupeiformes; Clupeidae
Exons: 3
Source: RefSeq, a predicted model, not a curated record
CGCACAUCGAACGCGCCCUUUCCAGUCCUAACGGCUCCUUCAGUUUUCAAAUUUCUCGUUGAUGAAGUGGAAGACGAAACAGCGGCGUCUGAAGGCUCACUGUCAUUCACAAGUGGCUCCAGUCUGGUUUGGGGGUUCUGCCAUCCAAGUAAAGUUAUUCACAAGUGGCUCCAGUCUGGUUUGGGGGUCUACGCUUUCUCAUCCUGUCCUGCC